This 907-nucleotide ribosomal RNA is filed under the name uncultured archaeon. RNAcentral describes it as "bacterial SSU rRNA". It matches the Rfam family "Archaeal small subunit ribosomal RNA", at positions 1 to 927 of the family's 1478-position model. The record is from RNAcentral.
UUCCGGUUGAUCCUGCCGGACCUGACUGCUAUCGGAUUGAUACUAAGCCAUGCGAGUCUUUGUAGUAAUACAAGGCAUACGGCUCAGUAACACGUAGUCAAUCUACCCUAUGGACGGGGAUAACCUCGGGAAACUGAGAAUAAUACCCGAUAGAUCAUUAUGCCUGGAAUGGUUUAUGAUCCAAAUGAAUUUCGCCAUAGGAUGGGACUGCGGUCUAUCAGCUUGUUGGUGAGGUAAUGGCCCACCAAGGCUAUAACAGAUACGGGCUCUGAGAGGAGAAGCCCGGAGAUGGGUACUGAGACACGGACCCAGGUCCUAUGGGGCACAGCAGGCGAGAAAACUUUGCAAUGUGCGAAAGCACGACAAGGUUAAUCCGAGUGUUUCCUGCUAAAGGAAUCUUUUGUCAGUCAUAACACCACUGAUGAAUAAGGGGUGGGCAAGUUCUGGUGUCAGCCGCCGCGGUAAAACCAGCACCUCAAGUGGUCAGGAGGGUUAUUGGGCCUAAAGCAUCCGUAGCCUGCUUUGUAAGUUUUCGGUUAAAUCCAUAUGCUCAACAGAUGGGCCGCCGGAGAUACUAGACAGCUAGGGAGUGGAAGAGGUGGAUGGUACUCGAUGGGAAGGGGUAAAAUCCUUUGAUCCAUUGAAGACCACCUGUGGCGAAGGCGGUCCACCAGAACAUGUCCGACGGUGAGGGAUGAAAGCUGGGGGAGCAAACCGGAUUAGAUACCCGGGUAGUCCCAGCUGUAAACGAUGCAAACUCAGUGUUGCAUUGGCAUGUAGCCCAAUGCAGUGCCGCAGGAAGCCGUUAAGUUUGCCGCCUGGGAAGUACGUUCGCAAGAAUGAACUUAAGGAAUUGGCGGGGAGCACACAAGGGUGAGCCUGCGUCAAUGAAUCACGCGUAUCGUCG